GCACUCACCACUGAGUUACAUUCCCGGCCCUUUUGGAGUGAAGGUCUCACGAAGUUGCCAGGCUGGCCUUGAACUUAUGAUUCUCCUGCCUCAGCCUCCCAAGUAGCUGGGAUCAUAGAACCAGAGCUGCCUAGAGCUUCAAGGCCCACAGGUGCCAGCACUGCCGGGACCCGGAUGCCCUUCCUGCACCCUGACCACUCCAGACCAUCCACAUGGCCCUCCUUGGGGGCCAGGGGCUGCAGCAUCUGCCAGGGGCCACCAGGUUCAACUCUGGAGUGGGAGAAAGGGCUCAUACGUGGGAUAGGGUGAGGGGCAGCAGGGUCCCUCAGAGGUCCUUGGCAUGCCUGUGGAGCCCUUGUGUCGGGAGGCCCUGGACCCACGGCCCUGCCAGCCCCCACCUGGUCCCCACUCAGUACCCAGGGCCUAAGGGUCUCUGGCUCCCUGUACUGUCCUGGCUCAUGGCCACCCUCAAAGACUCCUGUCCGUGAGCUGGCAGGAGCCACACCUGCACACCUGCACCCUGCACACACUUCGACCCAGGCACACGCAGCAGCUUUCAGACCCCUUCCCCUUCCUUUACCUCCCCUGUGUUUCCCUGGGCUCCCCCGGGCCCCAGCCCCUCAUACCGUAUAGGAAGACAAGGCCCUGAGCUCCCAGCCAGCUCUGGUGGCCCAGCGCCCACUCUGCCUCCCCCCUGUGGCAGGGCUUACCUCCCUCCACAGGGCUCUCCUCAGGGGCUCUGGGAAUGCGGCAGGCCCACUGUUGCGUGGCUGUGGGGAUUCAGGUUUAUACCCAUGGCUGCUCUGCCUGUUUACAUCUUGAGGCUGCAGCUGUCCCCACUCCUCCUGGGCACUCCAGCCUGGCACCUGCUGCCCCAAGGGACUCACUGGCGCUUGGCACGUUCACCUUGGGCCAGACAGACUGACCAUCGGCAGCAGCGCCUGGCCUUGCCAAGCUCUGGGUGGGAGCAGGGAGGAACAGACAGAUGGGGAGUGGGUGAGCAACAGAGGGUGCUGGACCCAGGGCCUUGGCCAAGGUCACAGGGC
Heterocephalus glaber (naked mole-rat) is the source of this 1046-nucleotide long non-coding RNA. The record is from Ensembl. NCBI's taxonomy places the organism in Eukaryota, Metazoa, Chordata, Mammalia, Rodentia, Bathyergidae.